Long non-coding RNA from Peromyscus californicus insignis, 1903 nucleotides. RefSeq lists it as uncharacterized. NCBI's taxonomy places the organism in Eukaryota, Metazoa, Chordata, Mammalia, Rodentia, Cricetidae. The record is from RefSeq and is a predicted model, not a curated record. The transcript is spliced from 3 exons.
CCUCUCUUGGGACCUUCAUUCUGCACUGAUCAUCUGGCAUCCCUGUAAGUGCAGCUCUCACCCUUCAUCAAAAAAAGUUCCUUUUUGCAGCAGAUUGUUAGAGAAAUUCAAAACUGGUCAAAAUGCAGAGAAUAGUGGAUCAUGGGGUGUCCAACAUCAACUGAUACAUCUACAACACAACUCCUAAACCUAAGGCUCAGGCAACGUCCGUGAAGACAAGGCUGAAAGAUUUGAAGAGUCACAGGACCAGGAUAUCGUCUGUGAGAUACGAUCCUCUAGAAAUGACCAUAGGACCAGGAUAUCUGCUGUGAGAUAGGAUCCUCUAGAAACAACAGACAUGGAUUUAGUCAGUCUACUGGAGGUGAGAGAUUUGAGUCAGUCAUCAGCUGGAGGAACAAAGAGGCAGCAGUCAGAAGAAGCCCGGAAGGGACGGUAGUCUUCUCUCCAAGUCCCCUGAGGGUCCUCAUCAACACUGGAGAACUGUUUUGACAGAAUCACUGAAUUGAGUGCAAGAGUCAAAUUCCAGGGACAUCAAAAUGGGACAGACUUUCUGCUCACCCACAAACAACAGAGACCCUUCCGCUUUGAGGGACCAGGAAGAGCCCUUCUCAGGGGUCGAGUGGUUUCCAAGCUUGGCAGGAAUGGCUUGCUGUAGGCAAAAGGGCAAGGAACAUUGAGUAGCAGAAAUGGAAGCAAAUAAUUUAUUAUUUUUUUUUAAAUUGCAAACUCUGAUGUCUGGCCCCAGAUAUUGGAGCAUAUUCUCCAUUCUUCUAACAAAAGAAACACACAUGCUUAUUCCACCCUUUUCCGCCUCAUCUGGCAGCCGCUUUCUGGUCCAGCAGACACUAACAUCUAAUGAGUCAAACUUCUCAUUUUCAGACUAAUCAGUCGGCUGCACUAAUUGCAAAUGCAAAUAUGCAAAUUUAUAUUAAUUAAUUACUCUGCUAAUUAGUUCUGCGGUCUUUUUUGGGUAAUAAAUCAUUGUGCAGUGGAAGGGAAACAAGUCCUGUCCCAUUUCACUCCACAUAAAAAUUUAAUGUACUCAUGGAAGAAAAUAUCUAAAAAAAUAAACCGUGAGCCUAUCCUUUUACCUCCACUGAUGAUUCCCCUACAGUAAGGUGCCAUUGUGAGAGGGCUUUCACAUCUUCAGCAAAUGCCAUCACUAAGGUGCCUGUUAGCAGUUUAAUUAUCACAUUAUGAGCUUCAGAAAAAGCCAGUUUGCUGUGCUGCAGGCUGUGACAUGGAGCUUGGCAGUUCAGCCACUUCGAAGCAAAACACUUAUAAAUAAAAUGAGAAUGGAGAGAGGGAAUCACAUCUCUUCGCUGAAACACUAUGGCUUGGGAACACAUGCUUUUGAGGUUUUGCUAUCGUGUGUUAAGCUCAGGUUGUCUUCUUGCCUCUGUAUCCUUGAAUGAGAAGUUGUGCCAACAGGCUUGAGGAUGCACUGAAGGGCUGCUGGGGAGGGAGGGAUCAGAGAGGCUAGAGGUGAGGAAGAGCUGUGGAAGCAGGAGACAGCUCCCACUGUGGCUAGGAGUGGCACACACAUAGACUUAUUAAUUUCAGGCAUUUUUAUUGAAGAUUUAUUUGUGUUUCCAGCUCCUCUUGUGGGGCAUAGAAUGACAUAUAUGCAGCAUUCAAGAUAUAGUCUCUCCUAUUAUAUUGUGAAUCUUAAAACGCUUCCUGCUCCCUCUCCCAGGUGAAUCACCAGUAAGUGCUUGCUGAAUGAAUGGAUGGCAGCAACCAUCAUAGGCUAGUUACAGUGACAUUCACUGAUACUUGUGACAUACCUUCAUUAUGGGGUGGGUGCCAAGAUUAGGAGAGCAGAGAGAAUGGUGACUCAUACUUAAAUCUUCCUGUGUUUCUUGUCCCUUCUUUUCCUUCUCAAUAAGAAAUUCCAUUUCAA